GUCGUUGAACGUCAGUCCUUGUUGUGCUGAUUGUUGCACGUUCUGACUCGCAAGUAUCUUGCUUGUCGUUAGUGUAGGGCAACAAAAAACGGAUAACAUGUAAACGUUUGGUCCCUUCCUUUUAUUUCAUAUCCUUGAAUUGACUCUCCAUCCGAGUCCAAAGUCAAGAGUAGUCAGCCACGCGUUUUCUAAGCGGAACAUACAAGGGCAAGAAUGGAUGACGAGAAGAAAGUCAGCGGAGGGAGCGUGCUGGACCGCGAAGCUCGACGGGAGAUUCGCUUGUUCCAGGAGCAAUAUGCCUCGGCGUUGACAGAAGAGAUAACUAGGCUGGAGCAGGCUGCUUCGCUCGUCGCUGGAGGAAGAGAGAGUCUGCUCGACCGAGAGGUAGCCAUACGACAGGAGAUUCGCGCACUGCAGGAGCGGCGUGCUGCUGAAAUGAAAGACGAGAUAAGCAGACUUUCGCAAACUAACGAGCUGCAUGCAGCCACAACACUGCGGAUGCAGGCACAGCUACAGCAAGCCACCCAGAGGGAAGCUAGGUGCAAACAGAGAAUAGCCAGGGCCAACCAGGAGCUGAAAUCGUGCAAAGAAAAGCUGCUGUACACCGAAAUGAGCGCCAGACAAGACCGGCUGCUGUUCAAGGAUGCCCAGCAGCAGCUGAAAGAGGCUACGACAAACUUGCUGAGCCGGUCAUUGAUGUUGAAAUUGAAGCGUGCUAAAACUGAGCUUGACGAACAGCAUAAACUGGCGAAGGAAUGUUUGAAGGAGCUGGAGAGGGAGCGUUUUAAGCAUCAUUGUAGGUGCCUGCUCUACCCGAACCAUGCUGAACUCUUGCAGCAACUGGCACCCGUACCUAUGAAGGCAACUCAGCCUGAUCACAGUGACUCGUCCGCGGCUAUCAGCGCCAUAUUGAUGCUCUCGGGAUCACGUGCAAGUUCUCUUCUUGGCGGGAUUAGUGCAGAAGGCGCACUGUGUAAGCAAGGCAGCAGCCCUACGUCUGGUGUUCUGUGAAGCUUGACUUCAUUGGAUGUGAGGGUAAAGAGCGGAUGGUGUCUCGGGAACUCGAUCAAAGUCGAAAAUGGAUAAGAGAGAAGGUCAAGUCAGUGCAGGAAGAUAUGGAAACCGUCAGGAUCAUCUGCGGCUUGUGGAAGACCAUGUCUCUAGAUGCGGGUCAAAGCACAGCAGGAGAAAAAGUUGAUAGCCAGAAUGUCACAGUGAUGAUCCGUGAAAAUUCGUCCGCUGGGAAGUGAUCGCAUGGGGAGAAGAAGCAGUGUCAACCCGUGCAUGGACACUAGUUCUGGACCUCCGUUGCCAGGCAGCUACUUGCCUGCACUGGGAGUCACGGCUUGUCGCUGCUGCUUUGUGCAGAUGUUAGGUGCUAGGGCCACUUGUGUAUCGACCUGCCUGGCUGGCGGUGCUGCCUCCGAUGAUCCUUGCCUUGGAUGUGCCCACACCGACCGUCUGUCUGUCUUCAAGUGUGCCGAUGGCUUCCAACUCCUAAAAUCUACUAAUGAAUUUCAUCAUUGUUGCUCGCUGUGUUGUUGACCCGGUGCAGUGCCGAUCCGCUGAAUGUGCUUUUGAGCAUCUGUCAUGUCCGGUUCCCACUCAGUGUCGUAAGGUCUGCUGAUGAAUUUCAUUAUAGCUGGUGCUGCCAACCAACACAGUGUCAAUCCAAUGGAUAUCCCUCCGCCGGGCCUUCUGCUGGAGGUCCCAACAGUUUCACUCUCGGGUAUUCGCCGGGCCGUCGUGUCAAAGAGUGUGGUGUUCAAUCUUGACCACUAUAAGUCUACCCGUGGCCGAAAUACUGUGGCCAUGUGCUUAGCACAGCAUCACAGAACCGGAAUUCUGAAUCACCAUGGACCUUCAGUGAUAUCUUGAAGAAUGACCCACUAUUCUACUCAGUCAACUUCCGAGCUCCAUUGGCACCUGUAACAGAGCUAGAGUCAACCAUGGAUGCUGCUUACCUGUGUGGAGCAGCGGUAUACGAUGCUAAACCUGACAGCGUCACAGAGUUUGAUUACAACAUGUCAUUGUGCUGCAUCUGCCACAAGAGCUGUCUGGUGUCGAAGGUAAUCCAACGGUACAGUCAAACUUCUUUAGGACGAACGCUCUUUUAAAGGAACCCUUACCAUUUGUAUGAACUAGAUCCAGUCGUACGGCGGGCCAGAUCAAGUCACAAUUGGCAAGUGUGUGAUGAACCCCUGUCCAGCGAACUUUCAUGAAGACGAACCGUAUAUUUCAAGCGUAAUUUGAACAAAUCAGUGUGCAAGGUGAACGUGUGACCCACAUGCACAGUCUGGUCAUGCAUGUGUACAUGUAUAGCUAACUAGCGGCCUACACGCAGUAGAGCACACUAACGUUACACGUACAAGACUCACAUGAAGUCAUUGCCCAUUGUACUUCCUGUUGCUGGCUCCGUAUGCUGUGAAAUUGUGUGAAUACUAAGUAUAAGCUUUACAUGUGCCACUGGCGGCAUGCACGUUCACGUCAAUACAAUCUGUAUGAUAAUACACUCCGAACAAGACAAACAAACAUGUUCCGUCAUCUGAAAAGAGGUUCAACUGGCUGUAUGUGUACAUAUACAUGUAUAGAGAAAAUGCUUACAGCUGACAUGUAGACGCUCCCGUCUUUUUAAUAACUAUCCGCCCACUUUGACCAUCAUAGCAAGCUGAUCACGGUAGACGGCUGAACUAAUGUCAAACUGGACGGACCCUGUUAUAAAUGUACGAGCACUUUGAAAGAAGACUCAACUUUAGUUUACCUCGGAUAUACUAUACCACUCACCCACCAAGUGCUAGGCCCAAACCAACAGAGAAGAAAGCCAAAGUUUCAU
This is an RNA transcript of Sycon ciliatum, 2833 nucleotides long. RefSeq lists it as uncharacterized. The transcript has 4 exons. The record is from RefSeq and is a predicted model, not a curated record. NCBI's taxonomy places the organism in Eukaryota, Metazoa, Porifera, Calcarea, Leucosolenida, Sycettidae.